This 2901-nucleotide ribosomal RNA is filed under the name Escherichia coli. RNAcentral describes it as "bacterial LSU rRNA". It matches the Rfam family "Bacterial large subunit ribosomal RNA". The record is from RNAcentral. Lineage: Bacteria; Pseudomonadati; Pseudomonadota; Gammaproteobacteria; Enterobacterales; Enterobacteriaceae.
UUAAGCGACUAAGCGUACACGGUGGAUGCCCUGGCAGUCAGAGGCGAUGAAGGACGUGCUAAUCUGCGAUAAGCGUCGGUAAGGUGAUAUGAACCGUUAUAACCGGCGAUUUCCGAAUGGGGAAACCCAGUGUGAUUCGUCACACUAUCAUUAACUGAAUCCAUAGGUUAAUGAGGCGAACCGGGGGAACUGAAACAUCUAAGUACCCCGAGGAAAAGAAAUCAACCGAGAUUCCCCCAGUAGCGGCGAGCGAACGGGGAGCAGCCCAGAGCCUGAAUCAGUGUGUGUGUUAGUGGAAGCGUCUGGAAAGGCGCGCGAUACAGGGUGACAGCCCCGUACACAAAAAUGCACAUGCUGUGAGCUCGAUGAGUAGGGCGGGACACGUGGUAUCCUGUCUGAAUAUGGGGGGACCAUCCUCCAAGGCUAAAUACUCCUGACUGACCGAUAGUGAACCAGUACCGUGAGGGAAAGGCGAAAAGAACCCCGGCGAGGGGAGUGAAAAAGAACCUGAAACCGUGUACGUACAAGCAGUGGGAGCCUCUUUAUGGGGUGACUGCGUACCUUUUGUAUAAUGGGUCAGCGACUUAUAUUCUGUAGCAAGGUUAACCGAAUAGGGGAGCCGAAGGGAAACCGAGUCUUAACUGGGCGUUAAGUUGCAGGGUAUAGACCCGAAACCCGGUGAUCUAGCCAUGGGCAGGUUGAAGGUUGGGUAACACUAACUGGAGGACCGAACCGACUAAUGUUGAAAAAUUAGCGGAUGACUUGUGGCUGGGGGUGAAAGGCCAAUCAAACCGGGAGAUAGCUGGUUCUCCCCGAAAGCUAUUUAGGUAGCGCCUCGUGAAUUCAUCUCCGGGGGUAGAGCACUGUUUCGGCAAGGGGGUCAUCCCGACUUACCAACCCGAUGCAAACUGCGAAUACCGGAGAAUGUUAUCACGGGAGACACACGGCGGGUGCUAACGUCCGUCGUGAAGAGGGAAACAACCCAGACCGCCAGCUAAGGUCCCAAAGUCAUGGUUAAGUGGGAAACGAUGUGGGAAGGCCCAGACAGCCAGGAUGUUGGCUUAGAAGCAGCCAUCAUUUAAAGAAAGCGUAAUAGCUCACUGGUCGAGUCGGCCUGCGCGGAAGAUGUAACGGGGCUAAACCAUGCACCGAAGCUGCGGCAGCGACGCUUAUGCGUUGUUGGGUAGGGGAGCGUUCUGUAAGCCUGCGAAGGUGUGCUGUGAGGCAUGCUGGAGGUAUCAGAAGUGCGAAUGCUGACAUAAGUAACGAUAAAGCGGGUGAAAAGCCCGCUCGCCGGAAGACCAAGGGUUCCUGUCCAACGUUAAUCGGGGCAGGGUGAGUCGACCCCUAAGGCGAGGCCGAAAGGCGUAGUCGAUGGGAAACAGGUUAAUAUUCCUGUACUUGGUGUUACUGCGAAGGGGGGACGGAGAAGGCUAUGUUGGCCGGGCGACGGUUGUCCCGGUUUAAGCGUGUAGGCUGGUUUUCCAGGCAAAUCCGGAAAAUCAAGGCUGAGGCGUGAUGACGAGGCACUACGGUGCUGAAGCAACAAAUGCCCUGCUUCCAGGAAAAGCCUCUAAGCAUCAGGUAACAUCAAAUCGUACCCCAAACCGACACAGGUGGUCAGGUAGAGAAUACCAAGGCGCUUGAGAGAACUCGGGUGAAGGAACUAGGCAAAAUGGUGCCGUAACUUCGGGAGAAGGCACGCUGAUAUGUAGGUGAAGUCCCUUGCGGAUGGAGCUGAAAUCAGUCGAAGAUACCAGCUGGCUGCAACUGUUUAUUAAAAACACAGCACUGUGCAAACACGAAAGUGGACGUAUACGGUGUGACGCCUGCCCGGUGCCGGAAGGUUAAUUGAUGGGGUCAGCGCAAGCGAAGCUCUUGAUCGAAGCCCCGGUAAACGGCGGCCGUAACUAUAACGGUCCUAAGGUAGCGAAAUUCCUUGUCGGGUAAGUUCCGACCUGCACGAAUGGCGUAAUGAUGGCCAGGCUGUCUCCACCCGAGACUCAGUGAAAUUGAACUCGCUGUGAAGAUGCAGUGUACCCGCGGCAAGACGGAAAGACCCCGUGAACCUUUACUAUAGCUUGACACUGAACAUUGAGCCUUGAUGUGUAGGAUAGGUGGGAGGCUUUGAAGUGUGGACGCCAGUCUGCAUGGAGCCGACCUUGAAAUACCACCCUUUAAUGUUUGAUGUUCUAACGUGGACCCGUGAUCCGGGUUGCGGACAGUGUCUGGUGGGUAGUUUGACUGGGGCGGUCUCCUCCUAAAGAGUAACGGAGGAGCACGAAGGUUGGCUAAUCCUGGUCGGACAUCAGGAGGUUAGUGCAAUGGCAUAAGCCAGCUUGACUGCGAGCGUGACGGCGCGAGCAGGUGCGAAAGCAGGUCAUAGUGAUCCGGUGGUUCUGAAUGGAAGGGCCAUCGCUCAACGGAUAAAAGGUACUCCGGGGAUAACAGGCUGAUACCGCCCAAGAGUUCAUAUCGACGGCGGUGUUUGGCACCUCGAUGUCGGCUCAUCACAUCCUGGGGCUGAAGUAGGUCCCAAGGGUAUGGCUGUUCGCCAUUUAAAGUGGUACGCGAGCUGGGUUUAGAACGUCGUGAGACAGUUCGGUCCCUAUCUGCCGUGGGCGCUGGAGAACUGAGGGGGGCUGCUCCUAGUACGAGAGGACCGGAGUGGACGCAUCACUGGUGUUCGGGUUGUCAUGCCAAUGGCACUGCCCGGUAGCUAAAUGCGGAAGAGAUAAGUGCUGAAAGCAUCUAAGCACGAAACUUGCCCCGAGAUGAGUUCUCCCUGACUCCUUGAGAGUCCUGAAGGAACGUUGAAGACGACGACGUUGAUAGGCCGGGUGUGUAAGCGCAGCGAUGCGUUGAGCUAACCGGUACUAAUGAACCGUGAGGCUUAACCUU